RNAcentral lists this ribosomal RNA (881 nucleotides) under uncultured Streptococcus sp. RNAcentral's name for it is "bacterial SSU rRNA". It matches the Rfam family "Bacterial small subunit ribosomal RNA", at positions 55 to 919 of the family's 1533-position model. Lineage: Bacteria; Bacillati; Bacillota; Bacilli; Lactobacillales; Streptococcaceae. The record is from RNAcentral.
AUGCAAGUAGAACGCUGAAGAGAGGAGCUUGCUCUUCUUGGAUGAGUUGCGAACGGGUGAGUAACGCGUAGGUAACCUGCCUGGUAGCGGGGGAUAACUAUUGGAAACGAUAGCUAAUACCGCAUAAUAGCAGUUAUUGCAUGAUAGCUGUUUGAAAGGUGCAAAUGCAUCACUACCAGAUGGACCUGCGUUGUAUUAGCUAGUUGGUGAGGUAACGGCUCACCAAGGCGACGAUACAUAGCCGACCUGAGAGGGUGAUCGGCCACACUGGGACUGAGACACGGCCCAGACUCCUACGGGAGGCAGCAGUAGGGAAUCUUCGGCAAUGGACGGAAGUCUGACCGAGCAACGCCGCGUGAGUGAAGAAGGUUUUCGGAUCGUAAAGCUCUGUUGUAAGAGAAGAACGAGUGUGAGAGUGGAAAGUUCACACUGUGACGGUAUCUUACCAGAAAGGGACGGCUAACUACGUGCCAGCAGCCGCGGUAAUACGUAGGUCCCGAGCGUUGUCCGGAUUUAUUGGGCGUAAAGCGAGCGCAGGCGGUUAGAUAAGUCUGAAGUUAAAGGCUGUGGCUUAACCAUAGUACGCUUUGGAAACUGUUUAACUUGAGUGCAAGAGGGGAGAGUGGUAUUCCAUGUGUAGCGGUGAAAUGCGUAGAUAUAUGGAGGAACACCGGUGGCGAAAGCGGCUCUCUGGCUUGUAACUGACGCUGAGGCUCGAAAGCGUGGGGAGCAAACAGGAUUAGAUACCCUGGUAGUCCACGCCGUAAACGAUGAGUGCUAGGUGUUAGACCCUUUCCAGGGUUUAGUGCCGCAGCUACGCAUUAAGCACUCCGCCUGGGGAGUACGACCGCAAGGUUGAAACUCAAAGGAAUUGACGGGGG